This 253-nucleotide ribosomal RNA is filed under the name uncultured bacterium. RNAcentral describes it as "partial 16S ribosomal RNA". It matches the Rfam family "Bacterial small subunit ribosomal RNA", at positions 524 to 776 of the family's 1533-position model. The record is from RNAcentral.
UACGGAGGGGGCUAGCGUUGUUCGGAAUUACUGGGCGUAAAGCGCGUGUAGGCGGCUAAGUAAGUCGGGCGUGAAAUCCCACGGCUCAACCGUGGAAGUGCACUCGAAACUGCAUAGCUAGAGUCCUGGAGAGGAAGGUGGAAUGCUUGGUGUAGCGGUGAAAUGCGCAGAUAUCAGGAGGAACACCGAUGGCGAAGGCAGGUCUCUGGGCAUUAACUGACGCUGAGGAGCGAAAGCAUGGGGAGCGAACAGG